RNAcentral lists this ribosomal RNA (610 nucleotides) under Serratia sp. CH224. Its description in RNAcentral is "bacterial SSU rRNA". It matches the Rfam family "Bacterial small subunit ribosomal RNA", at positions 716 to 1328 of the family's 1533-position model. The record is from RNAcentral. Lineage: Bacteria; Pseudomonadati; Pseudomonadota; Gammaproteobacteria; Enterobacterales; Yersiniaceae.
CGAAGCGGCCCCCUGGACGAAGACUGACGCUCAGUGCGAAAGCUGUGGGGAGCAAACAGGAUUAGAUACCCUGGUAGUCCACGCUGUAAACGAUGUCGAUUUGGAGUUGUGCCCUUGAGGCGUGGCUUCCGGAGCUAACGCGUUAAAUCGACCGCCUGGGGAGUACGGCCGCAAGGUUAAAACUCAAAUGAAUUGACGGGGGCCCGCACAAGCGGUGGAGCAUGUGGUUUAAUUCGAUGCAACGCGAAGAACCUUACCUACUCUUGACAUCCAGAGAACUUUCCAGAGAUGGAUUGGUGCCUUCGGGAACUCUGAGACAGGUGCUGCAUGGCUGUCGUCAGCUCGUGUUGUGAAAUGUUGGGUUAAGUCCCGCAACGAGCGCAACCCUUAUCCUUUGUUGCCAGCGGUUCGGCCGGGAACUCAAAGGAGACUGCCAGUGAUAAACUGGAGGAAGGUGGGGAUGACGUCAAGUCAUCAUGGCCCUUACGAGUAGGGCUACACACGUGCUACAAUGGCAUAUACAAAGAGAAGCGACCUCGCGAGAGCAAGCGGACCUCAUAAAGUAUGUCGUAGUCCGGAUUGGAGUCUGCAACUCGACUCCAUGAAGUCG